Molecule: non-coding RNA, 82 nt
Organism: Acanthosepion pharaonis
Lineage: Eukaryota; Metazoa; Mollusca; Cephalopoda; Sepiida; Sepiidae
Source: the annotation of a GenBank genome assembly
ACGUUGGAACAUCGAAAUUAAGCAACGUCGAGCCUGGUCAGUACUUAAAUGGGUGAUCACUUGGGAAUGCCAGGUGCUGUAA